GACGAACGCUGGCGGCGUGCCUAAUACAUGCAAGUCGAGCGAAUGGAUUAAGAGCUUGCUCUUAUGAAGUUAGCGGCGGACGGGUGAGUAACACGUGGGUAACCUGCCCAUAAGACUGGGAUAACUCCGGGAAACCGGGGCUAAUACCGGAUAACAUUUAGAACCGCAUGGUUCGAAAUUGAAAGGCGGCUUCGGCUGUCACUUAUGGAUGGACCCGCGUCGCAUUAGCUAGUUGGUGAGGUAACGGCUCACCAAGGCAACGAUGCGUAGCCGACCUGGGAGGGUGAUCGGCCACACUGGGACUGAGACACGGCCCAGACUCCUACGGGAGGCAGCAGUAGGGAAUCUUCCGCAAUGGACGAAAGUCUGACGGAGCAACGCCGCGUGAGUGAUGAAGGCUUUCGGGUCGUAAAACUCUGUUGUUAGGGAAGAACAAGUGCUAGUUGAAUAAGCCGGCACCUUGACGGUACCUAACCAGAAAGCCACGGCUAACUACGUGCCAGCCGCCGCCGUAA
Molecule: ribosomal RNA, 515 nt
Filed under: uncultured bacterium
Lineage: Bacteria
Description: partial 16S ribosomal RNA
Rfam family: Bacterial small subunit ribosomal RNA
Source: RNAcentral